This is a small nuclear RNA of Delphinapterus leucas (beluga whale), 107 nucleotides long. The record is from Ensembl. Lineage: Eukaryota; Metazoa; Chordata; Mammalia; Artiodactyla; Monodontidae.
GUGCUCGCUUCGGCAGCACGUAUACUAAAAAUUGGAAUGAUACAGAGAAGAUUGGCAUGGCCCUGAGCAAGGAAGACAUGCACAUUCGUGUCGUGUUCCAUAUUUUU